GUUUGCUGCUCUCCAUCUCUCUGCUAUACUAAGAACUGACUCGCCCUCCAAUUCUUCUUCAAGGUACUGCUUCCUGUAAAUUGUAAUUGAUCUGACGGCAGUCGCUAAAGGAAGCAAGAGCCGGUUGCUUAGUGGCUGUGGGUUACCGCCUACCACUCUUACGGAGGGUCUCCUGGAAGCUGGAAGAGCGGAGGUGGUAUAUUGGGCCUCCUGCCAGUCUUGCCUCUAAUUGUCUUAUCAUUUGUAAAAUGGGAAUAAUAAUAGCUACCAUAUACGUUCAGUGUGAAUACUAAAAUACUUCGUGUAAAUAAAAACACAUUGUGAUCUGAAAGGUGUAAACAAACAUCGGAUAACAUUACAAAUAUAAAGCAUAUAGUAAAUAUUUA
Bubalus bubalis (water buffalo) is the source of this 386-nucleotide long non-coding RNA. RefSeq lists it as uncharacterized. NCBI's taxonomy places the organism in Eukaryota, Metazoa, Chordata, Mammalia, Artiodactyla, Bovidae. The transcript is spliced from 2 exons. The record is from RefSeq and is a predicted model, not a curated record.